RNAcentral lists this long non-coding RNA (282 nucleotides) under Carica papaya (papaya). RNAcentral describes it as "long non-coding RNA (CPAP_LNC006465)". The record is from RNAcentral. Lineage: Eukaryota; Viridiplantae; Streptophyta; Magnoliopsida; Brassicales; Caricaceae.
GUAUUUUAAAAGAAAAUUUGGAAAUUGGGGAUCGAAACACAAUUUAAAAAAAUUGUGCCACGUAGGACGCUUAGUCAGCAGCCCCGACGAACCGGAACGUGCGGAUGUGGUACCACGCGAGAGGCCACGCGAGCAAUCCGCAUGCCCGCGAUCAGACAGCCCAUAUUCAUUUUUGCGCGCACAGAUGGCCUAAAUCCACUUCUUAUUUAAACGCGAUCGAACGAUCUAGAUCAAAUCGUGAUGGGCGAUCCAGAUUUACUCCCUAUUUAAUCGCAAUCGGAC